Molecule: ribosomal RNA, 773 nt
Filed under: uncultured Thermaceae bacterium
Lineage: Bacteria; Thermotogati; Deinococcota; Deinococci; Thermales; Thermaceae
Description: bacterial SSU rRNA
Rfam family: Bacterial small subunit ribosomal RNA
Source: RNAcentral
CUUUCAAGUCCGAUGCUAAAGACUGGGGCUCAACCCCAGGGGUGCGUUGGAUACUGUGAGGCUAGACGGUCGGAGGGGGUAGCGGAAUUUCCGGAGUAGCGGUGAAAUGCGCAGAUACCGGAAGGAACGCCAAUAGCGAAGGCAGCUACCUGGACGACUUGUGACGCUGAGGCGCGAAAGCGUGGGGAGCAAACCGGAUUAGAUACCCGGGUAGUCCACGCCCUAAACCAUGAGUGCUGGGUGUCCGGCUUCUGCUGGGUGCCGUAGCUAACGCGCUAAGCACUCCGCCUGGGAAGUACGCACGCAAGUGUGAAACUCAAAGGAAUUGACGGGGGCCCGCACAAGCGGUGGAGCAUGUGGUUUAAUUCGAAGCGACGCGAAGAACCUUACCAGGCCUUGACAUGCCCGGAACCCCUCUGAAAGGAGGGGGUGCCCGCAAGGGAGCCGGGACACAGGUGCUGCAUGGCCGUCGUCAGCUCGUGUCGUGAGAUGUUGGGUUAAGUCCCGCAACGAGCGCAACCCCUAUCCCUAGUUGCCAGCAGUUCGGCUGGGCACUCUAUGGAGACUGCCUGCGAAAGCAGGAGGAAGGCGGGGAUGACGUCUGGUCCGCAUGGCCCUUACGGCCUGGGCGACACACGUGCUACAAUGCCAAGGACAGAGCGCUGCUACCUCGCGAGAGGACGCCAAUCGCAAAAACCUUGGCUCAGUUCGGAUUGGAGUCUGCAACUCGACUCCAUGAAGCCGGAAUCGCUAGUAAUCGCGAAUCAGCCAUG